Molecule: ribosomal RNA, 316 nt
Filed under: Pantoea sp. ZNP-5
Lineage: Bacteria; Pseudomonadati; Pseudomonadota; Gammaproteobacteria; Enterobacterales; Erwiniaceae
Description: bacterial SSU rRNA
Rfam family: Bacterial small subunit ribosomal RNA
Source: RNAcentral
AGCUCGUGUUGUGAAAUGAUGGGUUAAGUCCCGCAACGAGCGCUACCAUUAUCCUUUGUUGCCAGCGAUUCGGUCGAAAACUCAAAGGAGACUGCCGGUGAUAGACCGGAGGAAGGUGGGGAAGAAGUCAAGUCAUCAUGGCCCUUACGAGGAGGGCUACACACGUGCUACAAUGGCGCAUUCAAAGAGAAGCUACCUAGCGAGAGCAAGCGGACCUCAUAAAGUGAGUCGUAGUCCGGAUUGGAGUCUACAACUCGACUACUAGAAGUCGGAAAUGCUUGUUAUAGUGGAUCAGAUCGGCUGGGAAAUAUGUUCC